AAACAUUGCGCGAUUUGAUUUAGGUUCACGCAAAAUAUCACUAGUCGAAUUUACAGCAGCGCCACAGCAGAGGUAGGGGAAUCGCAUCGACCGGCCACGAUCUGUUAUGAUCCACGGCAUGUUUACCAAAAAUAUUAGAAUCUAUCUGUCGAUAAUAUCGUAGAAACCACGACUGAUGUUGUUAUCUUGAUCAGAGAAAUGACAUGGUGAAUUAAAUAGGAUAGGAUGAUCUCCGUUGAUGACAGAGUAAACACUUGCCAUUGAUGCAUUCGAAAUGAGUGUUGUAAGAAAAGGACAAUAAACGAGACGCAUUAAGGAUAAUAAUGGCAUGCUAACUUCUAA
This 342-nucleotide unclassified non-coding RNA is filed under the name Athalia rosae (coleseed sawfly). RNAcentral describes it as "misc RNA ENSAEAG00005009874.1". Lineage: Eukaryota; Metazoa; Arthropoda; Insecta; Hymenoptera; Athaliidae. The record is from RNAcentral.